RNAcentral lists this long non-coding RNA (243 nucleotides) under Vicia faba (fava bean). The record is from RNAcentral. Lineage: Eukaryota; Viridiplantae; Streptophyta; Magnoliopsida; Fabales; Fabaceae.
AUGGCAGACAAAAUAUGCUUCUGCUCGUUUCCCCAUUCUAUUGGAGUGAACGUUAGCCCAAUGUUAGCAUUCAGAUCCAUUUUCAGCCCUGGCCCGGAAAUGCCACCUUUUCCUGGCUUUCCAAACAAAGCCCAUCGAAGUCCAGUCCAUCUAAUUUAUUUUUUACCAUUCCAGGACGGCCCAGGCCGCUAUCCGAGUGCAAUCGGCAAAAGCAAGUUUACCUUACUUAUAUUAAUAAUAUAA